UGCAUAUUCAAAAAGCGGAGGAAAAGAAACCAACAGGGAUUGCCUCAGUAACGGCGAGUGAAGCGGCAAAAGCUCAAAUUUGAAAUCUAGCACCUUCGGUGUUCGAGUUGUAAUUUGAAGAUGGUAACCUUGGGUUUGGCUCUUGUCUAUGUUCCUUGGAACAGGACGUCAUAGAGGGUGAGAAUCCCGUCUGAUGAGAUGCCCAUUCCUAUGUAAGGUGCUAUCGAAGAGUCGAGUUGUUUGGGAAUGCAGCUCUAAGUGGGUGGUAAAUUCCAUCUAAAGCUAAAUAUUGGCGAGAGACCGAUAGCGAACAAGUACAGUGAUGGAAAGAUGAAAAGAACUUUGAAAAGAGAGUGAAAAAGUACGUGAAAUUGUUGAAAGGGAAGGGCAUUAGAUCAGACUUGGUGUUUUACGAUUAUCUUCUCUUCUUGAGUUGUGCACUCGUAUUUCACUGGGCCAGCAUCGAUUCGGAUGGCAAGAUAAUGGCAGUUGAAUGUGGCUUCACUUCGGUGGAGUGUUAUAGCUUCUGCUGAUAUUGCCUGUCUGGAUCGAGGGCUGCGUCUUUGACUAGGAUGCUGCGUAAUACACAGU
RNAcentral lists this ribosomal RNA (591 nucleotides) under Hansenula anomala. Its description in RNAcentral is "LSU rRNA". It matches the Rfam family "Eukaryotic large subunit ribosomal RNA", at positions 37 to 641 of the family's 3401-position model. Lineage: Eukaryota; Fungi; Ascomycota; Saccharomycetes; Phaffomycetales; Wickerhamomycetaceae. The record is from RNAcentral.